RNAcentral lists this ribosomal RNA (253 nucleotides) under uncultured bacterium. RNAcentral describes it as "partial 16S ribosomal RNA". It matches the Rfam family "Bacterial small subunit ribosomal RNA", at positions 524 to 776 of the family's 1533-position model. The record is from RNAcentral.
UACGUAGGGUCCGAGCGUUGUCCGGAAUUACUGGGCGUAAAGAGCUCGUAGGUGGUUUGUCGCGUUGUUCGUGAAAACUCACAGCUCAACUGUGGGCGUGCGGGCGAUACGGGCAGACUGGAGUACUGCAGGGGAGACUGGAAUUCCUGGUGUAGCGGUGGAAUGCGCAGAUAUCAGGAGGAACACCGGCGGCGAAGGCGGCACUCUGGGCCGGUACUGACGCUGAGGAGCGAAAGCGUGGGUAGCAAACAGG